This 1924-nucleotide ribosomal RNA is filed under the name Providencia rettgeri. Its description in RNAcentral is "partial 23S ribosomal RNA". Lineage: Bacteria; Pseudomonadati; Pseudomonadota; Gammaproteobacteria; Enterobacterales; Morganellaceae. The record is from RNAcentral.
AACCCAGACCGCCAGCUAAGGUCCCAAAGUCAUAGUUAAGUGGGAAACGAAGUGGGAAGGCUCAGACAGCCAGGAUGUUGGCUUAGAAGCAGCCAUCAUUUAAAGAAAGCGUAAUAGCUCACUGGUCGAGUCGGCCUGCGCGGAAGAUGUAACGGGGCUAAACUAUGCACCGAAGCUGCGGCAGCGAUAUKUARAUAUUGUUGGGUAGGGGAGCGUUCUGUAAGCCUGUGAAGGUGUGCUGUGAGGCAUGCUGGAGGUAUCAGAAGUGCGAAUGCUGACAUAAGUAACGAUAAUGCGGGUGAAAAACCCGCACGCCGGAAGACCAAGGGUUCCUGUCCAACGUUAAUCGGGGCAGGGUGAGUCGACCCCUAAGGCGAGGCAGAAAUGCGUAGUCGAUGGGAAACGGGUUAAUAUUCCCGUACUGGUGAUAAUUGCGAUGGGGGGACGGAGAAGGCUAGGCUAUCCGGGCGACGGUUGUCCCGGUUUAAGGAUGUAGGCAGGUGAAUUAGGCAAAUCCGGUUCACUAUAUGCUGAGGUCCGAUGACGAGUCACUACGGUGAUGAAGUAGCUCAUGCCCCGCUUCCAGGAAAAGCCUCUAAGCUCUAGAUUAUCAUUAAUCGUACCCCAAACCGACACAGGUGGUCAGGUAGAGAAUACUCAGGCGCUUGAGAGAACUCGGGUGAAGGAACUAGGCAAAAUGGUGCCGUAACUUCGGGAGAAGGCACGCUGGCAUUAGGUGAAGUGAUUUACUCAUGGAGCUGAAGCCAGUCGCAGAUACCAGCUGGCUGCAACUGUUUAUUAAAAACACAGCACUGUGCAAACACGAAAGUGGACGUAUACGGUGUGACGCCUGCCCGGUGCUGGAAGGUUAAUUGAUGGGGUUAUCCGUAAGGAGAAGCUCUUGAUCGAAGCCCCAGUAAACGGCGGCCGUAACUAUAACGGUCCUAAGGUAGCGAAAUUCCUUGUCGGGUAAGUUCCGACCUGCACGAAUGGCGUAAUGAUGGCCAGGCUGUCUCCACCCGAGACUCAGUGAAAUUGAACUCGCUGUGAAGAUGCAGUGUACCCGCGGCAAGACGGAAAGACCCCGUGAACCUUUACUAUAGCUUGACACUGAACAUUGAGCCUUGAUGUGUAGGAUAGGUGGGAGGCUUYGAAGCGUGGACGCCAGUCUGCGUGGAGCCAACCUUGAAAUACCACCCUUUAAUGUUUGAUGUUCUAACGUUGCCCCAUUAUCUGGGGUGCGGACAGUGUCUGGUGGGUAGUUUGACUGGGGCGGUCUCCUCCCAAAGAGUAACGGAGGAGCACGAAGGUUGGCUAAGCAUGGUCGGACAUCAUGCGGUUAGUGCAAAGGCAUAAGCCAGCUUGACUGCGAGAGUGACGGCUCGAGCAGGUACGAAAGUAGGUCUUAGUGAUCCGGUGGUUCUGAAUGGAAGGGCCAUCGCUCAACGGAUAAAAGGUACUCCGGGGAUAACAGGCUGAUACCGCCCAAGAGUUCAUAUCGACGGCGGUGUUUGGCACCUCGAUGUCGGCUCAUCACAUCCUGGGGCUGAAGUAGGUCCCAAGGGUACGGCUGUUCGCCGUUUAAAGUGGUACGCGAGCUGGGUUUAGAACGUCGUGAGACAGUUCGGUCCCUAUCUGCCGUGGGCGUUGGAAGAUUGAAAGGGGCUGCUCCUAGUACGAGAGGACCGGAGUGGACGCACCACUGGUGUUCGGGUUGUCAUGCCAAUGGCAUUGCCCGGUAGCUAAGUGCGGAAGAGAUAACCGCUGAAAGCAUCUAAGCGGGAAACUUGCCUUGAGAUGAGUCUUCCCUGACUCUUUAAGRGUCCUAAAGGAACGUUUAAGACUAAGACGUUGAUAGGUUGGGUGUGUAAGCGUAGCGAUACGUUGAGCUAACCAAUACUAAUGAACCGUGAGGCUUAACCUG